RNAcentral lists this ribosomal RNA (351 nucleotides) under uncultured bacterium. RNAcentral's name for it is "bacterial SSU rRNA". It matches the Rfam family "Bacterial small subunit ribosomal RNA", at positions 917 to 1267 of the family's 1533-position model. The record is from RNAcentral.
GGGCCCGCACAAGCGGUGGAGCAUGUGGUUUAAUUCGAUGAUACGCGAGGAACCUUACCAGGGCUUAAAUGUAGUAUGACCGGCUUGGAAACAGGCCUUCUCUUCGGAGCAGAUUACAAGGUGCUGCAUGGUUGUCGUCAGCUCGUGCCGUGAGUGUUAGGUUAAGUCCUGCAACGAGCGCAACCCCGUAUUCUUAGUUGCCAGCGGUUCGGCCGGGGACUCUAAGAAGGACUGCCAGCCAAGCUGAGAGGAAGGUGGGGGAUGACGUCAAAUCAUCACGGCCCUUACGUCCUGGGGCUACACACGUGCUACAAUGGUAGAGACAGAGGGAGCCACCUGGUGACAGGGGAG